ACGAAUAUUCCCGCGCGCUUCUGUCGGCCUAAACAGGGACAGAACGCUGACUCACUGUCCGUCAGUCUGAAGACAACCUGCCUCAGCACAACCUUAUUCCAUGUAGACUGCAUUAUCGUGAGUAUACAAUCAUCUCAGCGUCCUCUCUUUUAGAGGGUAAGAAAUGCAGUUUUGUGUUUACAGUAGGCUACACAGCUCCAAGUCCGAACAUGGGGAAGAAACGAAGGAAUUUGAACUACAAGGAGGACAUCAGAUCGUUUUUCAGUCCACCAAAACGCGCAGAAGUGGAUCCUGAAAAGGGAAGUGGAGACGCCCAGGGAGAAGAGUUGAACAACCAGGACAGAAACAUGACGCCAAGACGCUCUAUACUUAAGGAUUUGAAUCACAAACCAAAGAUAAAGUCUGAGG
RNAcentral lists this long non-coding RNA (408 nucleotides) under Neogobius melanostomus (round goby). RNAcentral describes it as "lncRNA (ENSNMLG00000020928.1)". Lineage: Eukaryota; Metazoa; Chordata; Actinopteri; Gobiiformes; Gobiidae. The record is from RNAcentral.